AAAAUGAGCUUGUAUUUUUUCCCCAGAUUAUUUUCUGAAUGAUGAUCUUUAUUGACUAUACUAUCCACAGUCCCUCAUUAAAAUGCUUCCUGCUGGAGCUGCCCUUUGGGCUUGUGAAGUUCACAGCUUCUCCUCUGAUACCUAUAAAUGACCAUGUUAAUCUCAUUCUCCCAUUAAAAUAAAAUAAAUUUAUCUAAUUUAAUGAAUCUGGGGGAUUUUCAUACAACCUAUCAUUGUGACUAGACUUUUUUUAUGCGAAGCAAGUCUUAAAAUGUAAACUGGCUGGUAUGGUAGGAAGUUUGUCACUGGGAUUUUUCCAAAAGAUCACAAGUUAUUCAUGGUCCCUUCUCAUCAGAGACACCCUGGUUUGGCCUUUGAGACCCAUGAACCCCACAACUACAGGUCUCUUGAUUUUUGAGGGGCCUAAACCAACUGCCAGAUGUGGAGUUUGGCAAAACUCUUAUUUCCACCUAGCUGCCUGCAUCUGAGCACUAUGAAUACUGCCCAGAACUGUAACAGGCAGUCCCUCUUAUGGUUUAAUCCCAACUCUAACACUCGCUCCUUCUGUGGUCUUUGUCAGAUCACUUAACUUUUUUGCUUUGGCUUCCUAAUCUGCAAAAUGAGAAGAACAAUACUUACUGAUGGGAAGAAGAGAAUGGAGGAUAUCUUACGUUUGCAUUAGCUAAUGUUUCUAGAGUUCAAAUACAUAAGUUCUCUUAUUCACCAAGAUGCAUAAAAACCAGCUGGGAGCUCUAAACCCCUACAGAAAACCGACACUCAAAACAACUUUUCUAUAGCUUACCUAGCAGCACUUCUCUUGAAGCAAGAAGCCUGAGGAUACCAACAAUGGCAACAACACCUGCUCACCAUAGACACUUUAAAGAACAGUGGUUUUCAAACUUUUGGAGCUGAGACCCCCCCCGGCUUUGAGUUACAAUUUUUGGUUGUGUACUCCCCCAACCCAGACAAAAAUAGACACAUACAAAAGUAUGCUUGAUAGCUUACUCAGAAACCUAACUUAGAUCUUAACACAACUUUAAUUAAAUUACAAAUACACCGAUACUUUAAUGUGAAGGGUGUGCCUAUUUCUCUGUGGACAGUUUAUCAAUUUGUGAGGAGUUUUUUUAAACUGAAAUUGUGAGGUUGUCCUCCACUUCCAGUCUGAGAUGGUUCUUUGUCUUUAGCACAGCCAACACAGAGAAUCUGAUCCCACACAAAUAAGAUGAACCAAACAGUGAAAGAGCUUUGAUCAUACACUUUGACAAAGCAGGAUAUUAUGAGCCAACUUUCAACCAAAAAUCCCCCGAAGACUUUUUUUAAAAUUGAAUGUCCACUGUGCUAUCACUCUAAAGUUCAAUCAGCUUGUCCUGAAUGUCAUUUGAGAGAUGGGACAAAGUCACUGCCUCAGCUACAAAAAGCUGGAUAAUCCAGUCAUUCAGGGGUGUAUUUCCUCCGGGAAAAUAUUUACCCAAACUGGCUCUGAGAGAAGUCAAGUGAUUCUCAAUUGGCUCCACAACACUGAAUAGUUCAGAUUCUGUUUCAUCGAUAACAUCAGUUAACAACGGGAAUGGAAUGCUUAAACCAGUUUUGAUUUUUGUUUUCCAGAGAUCUAGUUUUCUCUUGAAUGCCGAUAUCUUGUUGUGCAGGUCAAAAAUAGUACUUUCUGCUCCUUGCAAAAGAACAAUGCAAAAAUAAUUCAUUUUGUCAAAAAUAUCAGCAAGGUAAGCCAAAAGCACAAGCCACUAGGGAUCACAAGGUGUCUCGGCAUUGGUGAAAUUCAUAUCCACCACAAAAAAAUCAAAUUUCAUUUCUCAGUUCAUAAACGCGUUGCAACACUUUCCCACUGGAUAGCCAACUGACUUCAUGUGAAAUAACAAAGCAUCAUGCUCUGCUCCCAUUUCUGCAAAAAGCAUUUCAAAGAGAAAAGUGCCUUUGUGGGUUGCAUCUUGAUAAAGUUCACUAUUUUUAGAGCAGAACUGUAAGUAUGUGAUCCAUGUUUCGAGUUGCAAGGGCUUUGCAGUGUAUCACACAAUGAGUCCACAAUAUAUGUAGCGCAAUUUCAAACAAUUGCCAAGCCUGCCCUACCUCCAGACACAGAAGGGGCUCCAUCCAUGCAGAUUUUGAUGCAGGCUUCCCACUUCAACUUGUGAGAUGUUAGAAAGUGGUUUAAAAUGUUAAACAGUUCAGAUCCAGUUGCAUGAAUCUUAAUUGGCUUGCAGAACAAAAAAAAUCUUCCAAUAUUGAUGUUUCAUGAGCGUACCAAACGUAAGCAAUUAAAUGAGCUUUCGAUAUAUCCAUUGCUUCAUCCAACUGGAUUACAAAUAAACUGGCUUGCAAUCGAGAGAUCAGCUGUGCCCUGAUGUUUUCUGACAUGUCAAAGAUUUGGCAGCUGACUGUGUUGUCUGACAGCAGGAUCAUUUUUAACUUUUCUGCCACACUGUCACCAAGCCUUGUCCUGCCAAUGUCAAUUGCUGCUGGGAGAAUCCGUUUUUCCCUAAUUGUGUAAGGCUUUUUAUUCUUGGCAAUGUGGUAUUCAACUGGAUACGAUGCUUUUAAAUCACUUGCAGGGGUGGAUACCACAUUUUUCACUGUGGUUUUUUGUUUGUUAAUUUCUUGUAACUUUCAUUCGAAAAAAAUCUCUGUUCUUUCCUACCACAUCGCCAUGUUUUGUUUCCAAAUGGCGUCUUAAUUUUGUUGGCGUCAGGCUAUCAUUUGCUAAAGUUACUGCACACACUAUGCAUUGAGGCCUGAUUUCUCCGCUAACUGCAAUGGAAGUGAAACCAAAAUUCAAAUAUGCUUCAUCAUAUUUUCUUGUUUUUGCAGAUUUUUUGUCUGUAACAACUUUAGCCAUUUCAGCUUCUGCCUUUCGUUUUGGAACAUUACCAUCUUUUGGCAAUAACUACCAAUCCAUUUUUCACCAGCGGAAUAAGCACAACAACACUGCUUGCUGAAAUGACAAAUGAUACGACAUACUGAACUGGGAAAGCCCGGUGAGUCUCUUUCCUGAAGCGAAGUUUUUUGCUCUCUGUGCCUGGUAGAGCACAAGGCAACAAUGAUGUCAGCACAGCCUUGGGAAUGGGAUUGGCUGAUUAACGUGUGCUGCCUCUGCUGUUGACUGGCUUUAGCCCUCUGAUAAUAGCAGCAGCUGUUGUUUAAGAUCUCUGGAAAUGGUCUCAUCACAAGUUUCAAUAAGGAAGUUACCAGCAUCAUUCAUGGCUGUGUGCUGCUGGAUCCAAUGAGACUUAGCAAAGAGGUCAAAGAAGAAAUGAGAUGGAAGAAUGAAUUACCCUGCAGAGGUAGACCUUCUUCAUUCCAGGUGUAAAUCUCCUCUCCAACACUGGGAAGCAUGGCUUGGAUACCUCUGAGGCACCAUUUCCCACCCCAGACCCUGCGGAAGUUCCUCUGCAUAGACCCCAGUCAGCAUGAAGGAGGAAGCAGAGUCAGGGCGGGCUGUGGGGGUGGGGGGGCACAUUGUCCCUGACCCAAGGAAGACUUUAAAAAAUGAAUACGGUCCCAGCCUAUACUAUUUUUUGAUUCCCCCCCCACAAUACCUGGGGCCUUGAAUGAAGGUGCAAGGGGAGAGGCCCUGGAAGCAUGGCUCCAAUGGAGCUGUGCUGGGAGGGGUCUGAGAGGGACUGCUGAGGUUGAAAAGGUGUGGGGUUUCCCUGUGAAUGGCUGAGGCCAUCUGCAGGUCCUCAGGAAUCCACUAGGUUGGAAGGCAGUUCUCAGCAGGUGACAAACCCUGCUCCUCCUGAUGGCAUGGUGCAGGGGCAUCACAGAUAUUUCCCAGUAAAUAGCCUCCUUGUGCAACUUUGAAAUUACUAGGCCAAAUUUAUCUUUAGUUGAAGUUCCUGGCAGUUGAUGGAGUUACAGAAAAGAUGGAUUUGUUCGGCGAUGAAUUUGUUCUGUUAUAUUUCAAUUAUUUGUGCGAGGAAUAUGAGAGUCCAGGACGAUUAUUUCUGGCAAGUUUCAAAAUUGUUUAGGUUAAUGAGUUCAUGGUAGAAUCCCUUAAACUAGGGGUUACCAAGGGAAACAGGGAAGAACUUUACAUUUUAGCAUUGCAAACACAACAAUGAUGCAAAUAUAGAACUUGUAAUCAGACAGGGAGCUAAAGGAGAGUUGAAACAUUAUGGUGUGGUAUGAAGGUUUUAUGGCCUACAUUUGGGAUGCACCAUAAUUCUCAUGCAUGGUGAACUUAAGAGUGAGUUAUGUAGGUCAUUCCAGGUGAGUGCCAUAAAGCCCUUAUAUCACGCCACAGCAUCAGGGAUUUUGUAUGUUAUACAUACAUUACAAAACAAAUAUUUUGGAAAUAUUUCAGUAAGUUUUACUUUGUGUUACUGAUGCUAUUUAAUUACCUCUAUCCAACUUGAAGCCAGGAUGCCUUUGUUAACAUUAAUUGAAUUGUACAAACUUUAGUGAGAGUGAAAGUUAUAACUGAUAAAUUAUAAAAGCCUCUUAAAUGACCUAAAAUAGAUUUGCCAUACAUGAUGAUGUCACUCUUAAGGUCUAGUACAGCAUCUUGAAAACACCUAGGACCAGAAGCAAAUUCUGUUACCUUCUGAUAAUUGGGGACACUUCUGAUCCUUGAGCCAGUGUAAUAUGAGGGAGAAACUGCACAUUUUGGGGGAAAGGAAGUAAUAUUCCUAUGUCAGAGUGCUGUAUUUAUUUAUUUAUUUAUUUACUUACUUACUUACUUAUUUAAACUGGCUAUUUGAAGCUGCUGAGAGAUUUGGAAUAGGAUUGCCAACUCUCCAGGAUUGCCCUGGAGUCUCCAGGAAAUAAAGAUUAAUCUUUAAUUAAAUAUUAUAUCAUGUGAUGAAAACUCCAGGAAUUCAUCCAACUAAAAUUGGCAACCCUAGUAGUCAAAGAGUCCCAGUGGAGACAGAUUAGCAGAUGGACAGAGUGCAGAUGGGAUGGUCAAAGUUGCAUCAUGAAUGCAAUUCAUCACAUGGAUAUCAGGAGCACGUGUGGCACUAUUCACAGUUCACAUUUUGUGUUUAAAAUCUGCUUUAAGAUGAAACUGUAGAACAGACUCGGCACAUAGAUGUUGACUUAAAUGUUCAUAUACAAAGAAUAUAUCAAUAUUUCAUUUUAUACACAUGAACAUAAACCACACAUAUAAGCCUCUGACACCCAUGUGCAUUUAUCAUGUGUCUGACCAUCUCACUUGCCCAUUAAUCUACCGUUGCCAGGACAAUUUAUAAAAUGCCAAACUACUGAGACAACUUUUACAGGCACAAUUUUUGUUUAAACAUAAGAAACGCUCCUUUCUUUCCCCCCAAUUCAAAGUACUGAAUUUUUUUUUAAAAAAAAAUUUAAACUGGCUUGUGACCCACAAUGUGCAAUAUUCUGUCCUCAGCUGGUGUCAGGAUUAAAGUCUGAUAUCUUUUUAAAUAGGAGAUAUUUAUCAUUGAUAGUGCUGAAGACCACAGAUAUUAAAAUUGUGCCAUUAAAAUAGUAGUGUUAUCCUUAUGGGUGAAAAACUAUCUUAGGUCAUUUAAAGAAGUUUCUAAAAUGUAUUUGUCAUAAUUUUUCACCCCCUCUGAGGUCAGAGCACAACUCAUGAUACCAAAGCAGACAGGCUUAUGGUGAACUAUAUAAAUGCACACAAUAGUUGGAACAAAUUUUAGACCUAUUUAAAUAAUUUCUAAAAUAGUUUAAAAACAUCCUUAUUUUUUAAUUUGCUGGGCAAACAUAACUACAAAUAUACGUAGAUAAACUGGCUGUAGACAGAGUGGUAAUUCAGAGAAGUCACCUGAGUGGUAAACAAAAAGGUAAAAGCAUAAUAUUUACUGCACAUAAAUGCUUGUAUAAACAGCUCACUUUAACUCCUAAAUUGUUGCAAAGAAAGAAGUGAUUAAACCAGUUUUACUACAAAAUAUGUGGCAUAUACAGAACACAUAAUGAUGCAGUAUGAUAUAAUGGCACUUGUUUUGAGUGAGCUGCAUAACAACACAUUCUUGACUUUCUCAUUUGUGAACAAAGCGGCCACCCUAAAUUCAUGAAAAUAAAGCCUUUAUGCUAUACCAUCCUAUAUGUGCUCGCUGUCUUUCCAAAUUUAUACAUGCACACAUGAGUGCCCACAUGCGCACACACACAAACCUGAGGCAAAUAUGCUCAGAUAAAAAGUAUACUAUGCAUCUGUGAAGGUUUCUGAUAGUGAAGAGAGUAGAGCAGGAAUUAUUCCAUGCAUAAAUCUCAACCUGCCACAACUCUCAUCAUCUAGGGCUUCUCCCCAGUCUUCUGCAAACAGCCCCUAACUGGUCACUGAUAUAUACUUUUUUAAACUUGUUUUGUGUAGGUUGUAAAACUUUUACUGAACAGUCAUAAAAGCCAUAUACAGGUGUUGGAUGAA
This is a long non-coding RNA of Caretta caretta (loggerhead turtle), 6355 nucleotides long. RefSeq lists it as uncharacterized. NCBI's taxonomy places the organism in Eukaryota, Metazoa, Chordata, Testudines, Cheloniidae. The record is from RefSeq and is a predicted model, not a curated record.